This 253-nucleotide ribosomal RNA is filed under the name uncultured bacterium. RNAcentral describes it as "partial 16S ribosomal RNA". It matches the Rfam family "Bacterial small subunit ribosomal RNA", at positions 524 to 776 of the family's 1533-position model. The record is from RNAcentral.
UACAGAGGUCCCAAGCGUUGUUCGGAUUUACUGGGCGUAAAGGGUGCGUAGGUGGCGGGGUAAGUCGGAUGUGAAAUCUCCAGGCUCAACCUGGAAAUGGCAUUGGAAACUACCUUGCUGGAGAGUUGGAGGGGGGACUGGAAUACUUGGUGUAGCAGUGAAAUGCGUAGAUAUCAAGUGGAACACCAGUGGCGAAGGCGAGUCCCUGGACAACUUCUGACGCUGAGAAGCGAAAGCAUGGGGAGCGAACAGG